GACGAACGCUGGCGGCGUGGAUUAGGCAUGCAAGUCGAACGGUAUCGUCCUUUCGGGGGUGAGAGAGUGGCGAACUGGUGAGUAACACGUAGGUUAUCUACCCUCAAGACGGGGACAACCCAGGGAAACUUGGGCUAAUACCGGAUGUGAGCAACUUUUAGUUGUUUGAAAGGUGGCGUAAGCUGUCGCUUGGGGAUGAGCCUGCGUCCUAUUAGUUAGUUGGUGAGGUAACGGCUCACCUAGGCAAUGAUAGGUAGGCGGCCUUAACGGGUGGUCGCCCACACUGGGAUUGAGAUACGGCCCAGACUCCUACGGGAGGCAGCAGUCGAGAAUAGUCUACAAUGGUCGGAAGACUGAUAGUGCGACGCCGCGUGAACGAUGAAUCCCUUCGGGGUGUAAAGUUCUUUUAUACGUGAGCAGUGUCCUUUAUAUUAAUAGUAUAAGGGGAGAGAUAUUAGCGUAUGAAUAAGCAACGGCUAACUCCGUG
RNAcentral lists this ribosomal RNA (487 nucleotides) under uncultured bacterium. RNAcentral's name for it is "bacterial SSU rRNA". It matches the Rfam family "Bacterial small subunit ribosomal RNA", at positions 28 to 507 of the family's 1533-position model. The record is from RNAcentral.